AGGCCGAAAGGCGUAGUCGAUGGGAAACAGGUUAAUAUUCCUGUACUUGGUGUUACUGCGAAGGGGGGACGGAGAAGGCUAUGUUAGCCGGGCGACGGUUGUCCCGGUUUAAGCAUGUAGGCUGAUUGUCCAGGCAAAUCCGGAUAAUCAAGGCUGAGGUGUGAUGACGAGGCACUACGGUGCUGAAGUAACAAAUGCCCUGCUUCCAGGAAAAGCCUCUAAGCAUCAGGUAACAUUAAAUCGUACCCCAAACCGACACAGGUGGUCAGGUAGAGAAUACCAAGGCGCUUGAGAGAACUCGGGUGAAGGAACUAGGCAAAAUGGUGCCGUAACUUCGGGAGAAGGCACGCUGGUGUGUAGGUGA
This 364-nucleotide ribosomal RNA is filed under the name Klebsiella pneumoniae. RNAcentral describes it as "partial 23S ribosomal RNA". It matches the Rfam family "Bacterial large subunit ribosomal RNA", at positions 1399 to 1765 of the family's 2925-position model. RNAcentral also lists the same sequence under 1 other name. The record is from RNAcentral. Lineage: Bacteria; Pseudomonadati; Pseudomonadota; Gammaproteobacteria; Enterobacterales; Enterobacteriaceae.